Molecule: ribosomal RNA, 520 nt
Filed under: uncultured Glomus
Lineage: Eukaryota; Fungi; Glomeromycota; Glomeromycetes; Glomerales; Glomeraceae
Description: SSU rRNA
Rfam family: Eukaryotic small subunit ribosomal RNA
Source: RNAcentral
AGCAGCCGCGGUAAUUCCAGCUCCAAUAGCGUAUAUUAAAGUUGUUGCAGUUAAAAAGCUCGUAGUUGAAUUUCGAGAUCAAAUUGUUGGUCGUGCCUCGGUACGUACUGGCAUUAUUGAUUUCUCCUUUCUGAAGAACCUUGAUGUCAUUAAUUUGGUGUCUUGGGGAAUCAGGACCGUUACUUUGAAAAAAUUAGAGUGUUUAAAGCAGGCUCACGCUUGAAUACAUUAGCAUGGAAUAAUGAAAUAGGACGUUUGAUUCUAUUUUGUCGGUUUCUAGGAUCGACGUAAUGAUUAAUAGGGAUAGUUGGGGGCAUUAGUAUUCAAUUGUCAGAGGUGAAAUUCUUGGAUUUAUUGAAGACUAACUACUGCGAAAGCAUUUGCCAAGGAUGUUUUCAUUAAUCAAGAACGAAAGUUAGGGGAUCGAAGACGAUCAGAUACCGUCGUAGUCUUAACCAUAAACUAUGCCGACUAGGGAUCGGAUGAUGUUAAUUUUUAAUGACUCAUUCGGCGCCUUAAC